Molecule: ribosomal RNA, 510 nt
Filed under: uncultured bacterium
Lineage: Bacteria
Description: partial 16S ribosomal RNA
Rfam family: Bacterial small subunit ribosomal RNA
Source: RNAcentral
GACGAACGCUGGCGGCGUGCUUAACACAUGCAAGUCGAACGAAGAGCGAUGGAAGCUUGCUUCUAUCAAUCUUAGUGGCGAACGGGUGAGUAACGCGUAAUCAACCUGCCCUUCAGAGGGGGACAACAGUUGGAAACGACUGCUAAUACCGCAUACGAUCUAAUCUCGGCAUCGAGGAUAGAUGAAAGGUGGCCUCUACAUGUAAGCUAUCACUGAAGGAGGGGAUUGCGUCUGAUUAGCUAGUUGGAGGGGUAACGGCCCACCAAGGCGAUGAUCAGUAGCCGGUCUGAGAGGAUGAACGGCCACAUUGGGACUGAGACACGGCCCAGACUCCUACGGGAGGCAGCAGUGGGGAAUCUUCCGGAAUGGACGAAAGUCCGACGGAGCAACGCCGCGUGAGUGAUGACGGCCUUCGGGUUGUAAAGCUCUGUUAAUCGGGACGAAAGGCCUUCUUGCGAAUAGUGAGAAGGAUUGACGGUACCGGAAUAGAAAGCCACGGCUAACUACGUG